This 393-nucleotide long non-coding RNA is filed under the name Gossypium raimondii (Peruvian cotton). Its description in RNAcentral is "long non-coding RNA (GRAI_LNC000250)". Lineage: Eukaryota; Viridiplantae; Streptophyta; Magnoliopsida; Malvales; Malvaceae. The record is from RNAcentral.
GCGGUGGCGACAGAGGCAUUGGAGCAGCAGAGUGGCAGGCCUAGGGGCGGCAGUAGACCUAGGGGCGGCAGCUAGGGUUUUCUUUUCUGUUUAUUUUUUUCUUUUGUUGGGCUUUGGGCUAGGGUUUAGGUUUUGGGUUUGUGAUUGGGUAGUGGGCUUUUUUUUGUAAUGGACUAUUAAUCUCUUUGGACUUUUUAUUUAUUGUUUUUUUUGUUUUAUUUGUAAUUUGGGCCUAGGCUAAAAUUGACCUAUUACAAAAUGUUAACAUUUUUUAUUAUCACAUUGAACAUAGGUUAACAGUAUAUUAGCUCUUUUGGAGCCUUAAAUUGGUUUUGUACUAUCAAAGAUUAGUUUGUUUCAUUACAAAAUAAGAAAAAUACUUUUAUCCCUAAG